RNAcentral lists this ribosomal RNA (642 nucleotides) under Basilepta melanopus. Its description in RNAcentral is "16S ribosomal RNA". It matches the Rfam family "Bacterial large subunit ribosomal RNA", at positions 1699 to 2697 of the family's 2925-position model. Lineage: Eukaryota; Metazoa; Arthropoda; Insecta; Coleoptera; Chrysomelidae. The record is from RNAcentral.
AUUAAAAUAAGGAAUUCGGCAAAUAUUUUUUCACCUGUUUAAUAAAAACAUGUCUUAUUUGUGUAAAGAUUUUAGGUCUGACCUGCCCAUUGAUUUAUAUUUAACGGCCGCAGUAAUUUGACUGUGCUAAGGUAGCAUAAUCAUUAGUUUUUUAAUUGAAAACUGGAAUGAAAGGUUAGAUGAAAAAAAUACUGUCUCUUUUUGAUUUUUUGAAUUUUAUUUUUAAGUUAAAAAUCUUAAAUUAUAUUAAAAGACGAGAAGACCCUUUAGAGUUUUAUAUAUGAAUAAGAUUAGUUUAUUAGAAUAUAUUGAAAAUUUUGUUUUUAUAUUUGGUUGGGGUGAUUAUUAAAUAAAUUUAACUUUAAUUUUUUUUUACAAUAAUUUUUGAAUUUUUUGAUCUAUUUAUAAUGAUUAUUAGAUAAAAUUACCUAAGGGAUAACAGCGUAAUUUUUUUGGAGAGUUCUUAUUGAUAAAAAAGAUUGCGACCUCGAUGUUGGAUUAAAGUAAAAAAUUGGUGUAGAUGCUAAUUUUUUUAGUCUGUUCGACUAUUAAAACUUUACAUGAUCUGAGUUUAGACCGGCGUGAGCCAGGUUGGUUUCUAUCUUUAGUUAAAAUUUAUAUUUUAGUACGAAAGGACCAAAU